RNAcentral lists this ribosomal RNA (836 nucleotides) under uncultured cyanobacterium. Its description in RNAcentral is "bacterial SSU rRNA". It matches the Rfam family "Bacterial small subunit ribosomal RNA", at positions 529 to 1365 of the family's 1533-position model. Lineage: Bacteria; Bacillati; Cyanobacteriota. The record is from RNAcentral.
GAGUGGCAAGCGUUAUCCGGAAUUAUUGGGCGUAAAGCGUCCGCAGGCGGCCCUUCAAGUCUGCUGUUAAAAAGUGGAGCUUAACUCCAUCAUGGCAGUGGAAACUGUUGGGCUUGAGUGUGGUAGGGGCAGAGGGAAUUCCCGGUGUAGCGGUGAAAUGCGUAGAUAUCGGGAAGAACACCAGUGGCGAAGGCGCUCUGCUGGGCCAUAACUGACGCUCAUGGACGAAAGCCAGGGGAGCGAAAGGGAUUAGAUACCCCUGUAGUCCUGGCCGUAAACGAUGAACACUAGGUGUCGGGGGAAUCGACCCCCUCGGUGUCGUAGCCAACGCGUUAAGUGUUCCGCCUGGGGAGUACGCACGCAAGUGUGAAACUCAAAGGAAUUGACGGGGGCCCGCACAAGCGGUGGAGUAUGUGGUUUAAUUCGAUGCAACGCGAAGAACCUUACCAGGGUUUGACAUCCUGCGAACCUCUUGGAAACGAGAGGGUGCCUUCGGGAACGCAGUGACAGGUGGUGCAUGGCUGUCGUCAGCUCGUGUCGUGAGAUGUUGGGUUAAGUCCCGCAACGAGCGCAACCCACGUCUUUAGUUGCCAGCAUUUAGUUGGGCACUCUAGAGAGACCGCCGGUGAUAAACCGGAGGAAGGUGUGGAUGACGUCAAGUCAUCAUGCCCCUUACAUCCUGGGCUACACACGUACUACAAUGCUACGGACAAAGAGCAGCAAGUUCGCGAGGACAAGCAAAUCUCAUAAACCGUGGCUCAGUUCAGAUCGUAGGCUGCAACUCGCCUACGUGAAGGAGGAAUCGCUAGUAAUCGCAGGUCAGCAUACUGCGGUGA